Long non-coding RNA from Canis lupus familiaris (dog), 816 nucleotides. RefSeq lists it as uncharacterized. The transcript has 3 exons. The record is from RefSeq and is a predicted model, not a curated record. NCBI's taxonomy places the organism in Eukaryota, Metazoa, Chordata, Mammalia, Carnivora, Canidae.
AGGGAAACUUCCCGGGAAGCUGCGGUCACCCAGGAAAAUCCAAACAGCAGCAGGUUUGGAAAAGUGUGCUCAAAACCGUGUCGUGACGGGCAGAGGACAGUGGGGUCGCAUCUCACAGUUGGAAGUGGUAGGUGCUGCCGAAAGAGAAGCUGAGGUCCGAGAGAGGUCACGUGACUUCUUCAAGGCUACAGAGCCACACGCUGCCAACAUCAGUGCGAGAAUCUCUCCUGUGACCUGCUCAGUACAGAUUUAUUGAAUGGAUAAUUGAUGAGGGAUCUGGGAACGCACAGGUGCCAAAUUCCGUUAUGACGAUCCUUUUCUCGGUCAUUGCCCGGACGUAAGCAUCGGUGCGGAUGAACCUGAAGGACACGGAGACAUGGGAAAGGGUCAUGGGCAGGGGCAACCCGUGCGGCCCACACGGAGCUGAGAAUGGUCCUCCUGUGUGUCCUCACGAAGUCGGGAUCAUAAAUGACACCAGGAAGAAUGAAGGGUGUGGUCUGGCCACUUUCUCAGGGUGACUAAGAGAGAAGGAGGCCGUGUGCUAUGAGCUUAAAUGUAUGAAGACUUAAAUUAUAAGAUAUAUUAUAAGAUAAUUAUAAGAUAAAUUAUAAGAUAAAUUAUAAGAUAAACUUCACAGUGGCAGAUGAGGAACUGGAGGCUCCUGGCUUGGACUUGCCGUGUCCGAGCGGAGAAGUCAAGUGAUGGGCACAUGGGAGGGAGCUGGGUUAGAGCUUCUCCGCCUCGCACCACGCAGCCUCCACGGUGGGUCACACACGGCCUCCGUGGACCCUUCCUGUGGCCUCUAACCCGUCAACC